RNAcentral lists this long non-coding RNA (625 nucleotides) under Olea europaea subsp. europaea. The record is from RNAcentral. Lineage: Eukaryota; Viridiplantae; Streptophyta; Magnoliopsida; Lamiales; Oleaceae.
CAUCACUAAACUUUGAAUCUACAUAGAACUAACAAGAAUAAUGAAUACCGUAAACAUUAAAACUAAUUAAAAAAUAUAUAUAUGUAGUAGCCAAGUCGAGAGAAUAGUCAUUUGACACUAUCAUUGGCCCAUUAAUUAAAGACCCUUACAUAUUAAUUCAAGACCUGAAAAUAAGCAAAAAGGGUGCUUAUAAGUGGAAUAUCAAGAAAAUGAUCAGAGGUGGCAGCCGCAGCACAGGAAGAAGAAACAGAGAGUUGCAACCAAAAUUAUAGCUUCAAAAAUGGAUACAAUCUUGAAAAGAAUAUCAUCCACGAACCAAAGAUGCAAGCUGAACCGCCUCUUCCACCGCAACCCGGUGGAGCUCUUGAACUUCCACCUGCUUGCACCACUACUAUUGCCAACGUCUCCGCCUUCUCCCUUGCUGGCUUUCUUGUUUAGCCUCUUGAAGAAGAACAAAAAUUUAGAAGGCUUCUUCAUCAUAUCUUUCUGAAACUAGUGUAUAAAAAACGUAUCGAAUUUCAGAAAACUUGAGAUGGGUUUUAAGGAAUUUGGGAUCGACUGGUUUUAUGUUAUUCCAGGUUUCUUGGGUUCUAAGGUUGGACAGGAGGGAAGAGGAAUAUGAUAG